RNAcentral lists this long non-coding RNA (528 nucleotides) under Arabidopsis lyrata. Its description in RNAcentral is "long non-coding RNA (ALYR_LNC000217)". The record is from RNAcentral. Lineage: Eukaryota; Viridiplantae; Streptophyta; Magnoliopsida; Brassicales; Brassicaceae.
ACCAAUCUUGUCAUAUUGGACUCCAAAAACCCUACACAAGCUUAUUAUGGCUUCCCCAAGUUUUGUAAGGGAGGACGAAGUCCCUAUGAGUGUUCUUGUAUUCCAUCUACGCUACUUUAGCAAUCAGGAUCCGGGUUGCAUUUCUCUUUCUUAUACUCAGUCAUACACACCAAUCUUGUCAUAUUGGACUUCAAGAACCCUACACAAGCUUAUUAUGGCUUCCCCAAGUUUUGUAAGGGAGGACGAAGUCCCUAUGAGUUUUUUUGUAUUUCAUCUACGCUACUUUAGCAAUCAGGAUCCGGGUUGCAUUUCUCUUUCUUAUACUCAGUCAUACGCACCAAUCUUAUCAUAUUGGACUCCAAGAACACUAUAGAAGCUUUUUAUGGCUUCCCCAAGUUUUGUAAGGGAGGACGAAGUCCCUAUGAGUGUUCUUGUAUUCCAUCUACGCUACUUUAGCAAUCAGGAUCCGGGUUGCAUUUCUCUUUCUUAUACUCAGUCAUACACACCAAUCUUGUCAUAUUGGACUUC